AACGAACGCUGGCGGCAUGCCUAACACAUGCAAGUCGAACGAGACCUUCGGGUCUAGUGGCGCAAGGGUGCGUAACGCGUGGGAACCUGCCCUUAGGUUCGGAAUAACUCCCCGAAAGGGGUGCUAAUACCGGAUAAUGUCUUCGGACCAAAGAUUUAUCGCCUUUGGAUGGGCCCGCGUUGGAUUAGCUAGUUGGUAGGGUAAAAGCCUACCAAGGCGACGAUCCAUAGCUGGUCUGAGAGGAUGAUCAGCAACACUGGGACUGAGACACGGCCCAGACUCCUACGGGAGGAAGAAGUGGGGAAUAUUGGACAAUGGGCGAAAGACUGAUCCAGCAAGGCCGCGUGAGUGAUGAAGGCCUUAGGGUUGUAAAGCUCUUUUACCCGGGAAGAUAAUGACAGUACCGGGAGAAUAAGCUCCGGCUAACUACGUG
Molecule: ribosomal RNA, 433 nt
Filed under: uncultured bacterium
Lineage: Bacteria
Description: partial 16S ribosomal RNA
Rfam family: Bacterial small subunit ribosomal RNA
Source: RNAcentral